This 494-nucleotide ribosomal RNA is filed under the name uncultured bacterium. RNAcentral's name for it is "bacterial SSU rRNA". It matches the Rfam family "Bacterial small subunit ribosomal RNA", at positions 29 to 518 of the family's 1533-position model. The record is from RNAcentral.
AUGAACGCUAGCGACAGGCCUAACACAUGCAAGUCAGGGGCAGCACAAGGAGCAAUCUGAGGUGGCGACCGGCGCACGGGUGAGUAACACGUAUGCAACCUGCCUGUAAGCGGGGAAUAACCCGUUGAAAGACGGACUAAUACCGCAUAAUACUAAAUUACUGCAUGGUAAUUUAUUUAAACAUUUAUGGCUUACAGAUGGGCAUGCGCAUGAUUAGCUAGUUGGAGAGGUAACGGCUCCCCAAGGCAACGAUCAUUAGGGGUUCUGAGAGGAAGGUCCCCCACACUGGUACUGAGACACGGACCAGACUCCUACGGGAGGCAGCAGUGAGGAAUAUUGGUCAAUGGACGAGAGUCUGAACCAGCCAAGUCGCGUGCAGGAAGAAUGUCCUAAUGGAUUGUAAACUGCUUUUGCAGGGGAAUAAAGUGCAUCACGUGUGAUGUUUUGUAUGUACUCUGCGAAUAAGGAUCGGCUAACUCCGUGCCAGCAGCAGC